CUCCAACUGACGAGUCCCAAAUAGGACGAAACGCGCGUUUUGAAU
Molecule: non-coding RNA, 45 nt
Filed under: Schistosoma margrebowiei
Lineage: Eukaryota; Metazoa; Platyhelminthes; Trematoda; Strigeidida; Schistosomatidae
Source: RNAcentral